CGGUGACAAACCGUAGGAAGGUGGAGAUGACGUCAAGUCAUCAUGGCCCCUACGGCCUGGGCUACACACGUGCUACAAUGGUCGGUACAGAGGGUUGCCAAGCCGCGAGGUGGAGCUAAUCCCAUAAAACCGAUCGUAGUCCGGAUCGCAGUCUGCAACUCGACUGCGUGAAGUCGGAAUCGCUAGUAAUCGUGAAUCAGAAUGUCACGGUGAAUACGUUCCCGGGCCUU
This 230-nucleotide ribosomal RNA is filed under the name uncultured Pseudoxanthomonas sp. RNAcentral describes it as "partial 16S ribosomal RNA". It matches the Rfam family "Bacterial small subunit ribosomal RNA", at positions 1153 to 1382 of the family's 1533-position model. The record is from RNAcentral. Lineage: Bacteria; Pseudomonadati; Pseudomonadota; Gammaproteobacteria; Lysobacterales; Lysobacteraceae.